CCCCACAAUAUUUUGGCUCAUUUCUUAAAAUGUCCGGUGAUGAUAAUACUAGUGCUACUGCCCAUAUUCCACACCAUCUGAUGAUCCAAAUCUCUGGAAUGAAAAUUACAGACACUUGACCAUGAUUAACAGCAUCCCUGUCAAUUACCAAGGCUCAGCAAAACUGCAUGCGUCCUAAUUAAAAUCAAUUGAAUGAACUGAAUUACACCAAAUUCAUUUGUCACAUAGAAAUGACCAGAUGCUGUGGAAUCUGGCGUUUAUUUGAAGCUGCAGGAGUGUUUGAUUACAGUCAUUCUUCCAGGAGUUCUUUGCAUCACCCACAGGAACAGAGGCAGCGGAGGCGAGGCAGGAGUAUUUGGCUCGCUGUAAACGACGCCAUAUCAAUUCUUGCGUUUUCUUGAGAAAAGUCGAUGCAGCAGUGCCUCGGGAAGACUGACUGGCUCAUUACUCCAUUGAUAUUCUCUGACCAUGGUCUCAUGCUGAAUGCUUCACUCAGACAGGAACAACAUUAAAGAGCCUCAAGUUUUUCUCCAGCUGCCUGGGCAGAAGAUGCCUGGUACGAUCUCAAGCCAAGCCUCGGGUUCGAGUCUCCAUCGAGGACAGCAAGCCAUGCUCGUUUACCAUUAUCCAUCAGGACUGGAUGGGCAGGUGAACUGGUGUAAGUGUUUUUAGCACAAUGCUAACCAGUUCCAAGGGUGAGAAAAGCCCCUCACCAAGACUCUAUUAUAUUCCAUUCUCUAGAUAGCUCUCUAGUCCCUCUUUAAUUCACAUUUAAUGUAUUUUGUAACCAGUUUUAUCCACAAAUCUGAUUUCUUAUUAGCAAUAGCAUACCUAUCCUCAACUAGCCAUUUACACUAGUUCUUGCUGAAAAGCUUCCUGAAACCAGUCUAAGAUGAUUUGACUUUCUUACUUGGUCUCCCAGGCUGGUCAACUGUCUCUGUGAUAUUCUAUUUUAUUCUCAAGAUGUCACUCAAGUCCCUCUUUAAUUCAAAUUUAAGGGAUUUUGUCACCAAUUUCAUCCUAAUCUGAUCACUAAUUUACAAUUGCACACCUCUCCUUAACCAGCACCACAGUUUAAGUUCUUGCUGAUAAAACCUUUUUAAACCAGACUAAGAUUUUUUUUAUGGUCUUUCAGACAGCCCGAAUAGCUGGUUUUAGAGUGGUUUCGGUAUUUUUCAGCUUGACCAGGCUGGAAGACUAGCUGGCUGUGCAACUAAACAAAUAAAUGCCAGUUUUGGCCAUGUUGUAAGACCAGAUGAAAAAAAAAACGGUUAGUUUUACUAAAAGGCAAAUUUUACUAAAAAGGCAACAAAAAAGUCCCGUAAUUGUUUUUAAACAAUGCAUUAUAAAGUACAUGAAAUGCACUAUAUUUAUUUUACCGUCAAUCUAAACUCUUCUGUCUUUUUCUCUUUCACACAUAACACACACACUCACUCACUUACAGAUCUGCGAUGCCCUUGCAGAGGUCAGCGGUGAGAGAGGUACUCCUCAGGAAAGGGCCAGCAGGUUGGGUUUUAGUGGUCUGAUCUGUGCUUAUUUAGAGGCUGUGAAUAAUGCAUGAGACGUCGGUGUGCAUGGCUCUGCAGGGAUAAAGUGGCUCUCAGCCCGAUAUCCCAGCAUUCCCAGGCCCUCCCAGUCCGCACCGCAGGUGAGCUUCAGCCGGCGCUCCGGAGGUAACUUUCAUGCUCUGCUGGGCAAACAUUUUCCAGGUCACAUUUUCAAUUACUCUGAGAGCCAUGCCGACUCACAUCCCUCAGGCUCCCUAUCACACACGCACACACACAGCCAACGCCCACUCUAAACAAGCUUUGCUUGAAGAGGAAAUG
Cyprinus carpio carpio is the source of this 1826-nucleotide long non-coding RNA. Lineage: Eukaryota; Metazoa; Chordata; Actinopteri; Cypriniformes; Cyprinidae. The record is from Ensembl.